This is a non-coding RNA of Schizosaccharomyces pombe (fission yeast), 562 nucleotides long. Lineage: Eukaryota; Fungi; Ascomycota; Schizosaccharomycetes; Schizosaccharomycetales; Schizosaccharomycetaceae. The record is from the annotation of a GenBank genome assembly.
GAACGAUGUGAUCGUGCUUGCGAUUGAGUUCUUUCGACCUUAAGGGUUUACCACGUUUUCCACCCCUACCGCGGAUAGAUUGUGUACCAUUGGUAGAGUGGUGGUUACCUUUGCUAAACUUACUCUUCGAUUUAUGGAUUAAUGAUUCAGGGGGAGGGACUUGAUGUAGUGAAAAAGGCUUUGGAUGAUGCUCUCUUUUGUUCCAAACACUAGAAGAUGGAGGGGAUGGAGGUGAUGGAAAAGUUGAAGUGGGUUUCGUUACCAAACGAGAGUCAGUACCUUGAGAAACAUUAUUUGCACUAACAUUGGUUUUUCUAUUCUUUCCGGCACGGGUAUUUACAACGAACUGAGGAUUUGUAACGUUUAAAACCAUUGAAACUUCAACUUGCAUACCAUGAUAUGGCGAACACCUUCCAUCUAGAGUAGUUCCGCUCAUAAAAGGCAAGUCAAAGACGACAUCCAAAUGAUGCAACAUAAUACCCACGACAGUUCCGUAUGCUGCAAUUGGAACUUUACCAGAGUCCUGAACAUAAACAACACGAUCGCCUAAAGCAAAUUCUUG